CCCGAAAGAAGCCAACACAACAUGUAAAUCAACUAUAUUUCUGUGAAAAAAAAAAUAGGAAGCGAAUGCUGUGUAUUCCUCUCAGCGUUGACUACGCAGUCAGGUUAAUGAAACUUUGGGCAUUUUGUAGUUUUACAUGCAUAUCACCUCAGAAUCCACCCCGAAGAAAGGCACAGAUAAACAUCUUGUCUGAUGUCAUUUGCUGCAAUGUCUAUUCAAGGUUCCUGUCGUAUACAAAAGCCUUCCGUGACCGUUCCAUUUACACUUCUCCUAGGACUUGUGAGAGUCGGAGCUGGUCUGCUGGCAAUGAACUUCUCGGCUGCUCCUGUUGGUCACUGUGGCUCUUUUGCUCCUGUGGAUAGAUCCCCAGCCUGCAGAUGCUGAAAACCAGACUGGAUUUGUCGCUCAGAGCACACCUCCCUCCUCCCACGCACGUGGUCUCCACCGCACAUGUGCGGGUACAGAUGGGAACCGUCUCUGCAAACAAACUGAAGAUGAUUCAAGAGUCAUUCUAAUGAGCAGUGAAUGUGGCCUGAUUACUGCAUUCGCAAAAAACCCUAUUUUUUUUUCCCCCCAACAUUGCAAAGCUUGGCCCAGGGCUUCCUCAUAGGCUUACAAAUUUGCUGAAGUCUUCUUAGAGUCUUUCCUGAAGUCUAAGUGUGAUGAGAGCAGAGGUACCUCCGUUUCAUCACUGCAUCCUGGGCACCUAGUGGACCUGGCAAGGUGCAGCCCUAUGAGAACUCGGAGGAGUGCUGUCUGCCUCUGCUUCAUUAAUUCCGGAGAGACCUUCUCUGCUAGAAUGUUCCAAGGUAACUCCUCAUUCAGGUUUGAGGGAUUUGCUCCCUAUAAAAAGACUUACCAAAAUCCUCCCUCCUUUUCCUCAGCAGUGAGAUACUGCGAUCAAACUGGCCUAGAGUUUGAAUUAGCCACUCCAAAUUCAAUCCUAAUAGAUACCUAGAAAAUUUGCUUUUCUUUCUUUCCUUUUUCUUCUUUUUUCUUUUUCUUUUUCUUUUUUUAAAACAGCAGGACCUGUGGUAUAUAGAAGUCCCCGGGCUAAGGGGCAAAUCAGAUCUUCAGCUGCUGGCCUACACCACAGCCACAGCAAUGCCAGAUCCUUAACCCACUCAGGGAGGCCAGGGAUUGAACCCACAUCCUCAAAGACACUAUGUUGGGUUCUUAACUCCCUGAAUCACAAUGGGAACUCCUGAUUUAUUUUGUUUCUAAUAUCUCAGUCCCUGGAAAUCUUCUCUUAUGAGGGGCACCUUCCAGCCCCUUCUGAGGCAGGGAGGGUUGGGAGAAGCAAAGGGGCCCGAGGGGCAUGUCCUGUACUGGCGUCGCUUCCCAACCAUAGACCUUUUCCUGGCACUGCCCUUCGCCUUCCUGGGGAUUUGGCACAUCCUCUCUUCCCUGUUAAUAUUGACAAAAAGUAUUACAAACCUCUAAGUGCUAAUCGCCAGAUGAGGCAUGUAGACAGUUAGGGCUCUCGAAUAUCCCUUAGGGACGGCCCACAGUAUAAGCUCGAAAUAAGCUGGUUCACCAUCUCCCAGGCCUCUGCCCACCUCGCCGCCCACACCUGCCCUCCCAGGUCCCCGUCCUGUCCCUCAUCUAUUUAUUUAGCAGCGUGUCUUGAGGCUCUUCCAUGUGCCAGGCACGGGGCAUGGCAAUGAACCAGACCAGAAGCUCUGGCCAAAUAUUUCUUCCACUGGGUUUACUCACCCCAAGAGCCCCCGUUCUUGUUACAGUGUGAAUUCUAUGAGGACUUAACAAUUUUCCCUUUUCAUUUGAUAGCCAUCUAAAAAAUUAACAUAAAAGCCACAUCCUUAACCCCCCGAGUGAGGCCAGGGCUCGAACCCUCACCCUCACAGUGACAACCUCAGGUACUUAUCCCACUGAGCCACAACAGGAACUCCACCUUAAAGCCAUUCUACUGCAGGAUCUUGAUGUCUGGGUUUACACUUGUAUCAUUGAGCACGUUAGAGCCAGGGAUGCUUCAGCUGUUGGUCAACUUUUGGAGCACUGUCCCUCAGGCUGGGGGUCCGGGGACAUAUCCUUGAGCUCUGAUGGUGUCCUUUUCCUCUAAACGGGUUUCGCAUAUUUCUCAGGUUUAACAAGCACUGGUCUAGUAGCAGCACCAGAACGAUUGCCUGUAGCCAUGAGGCUCUUCCCCAACUUGGGUCACGCAGGUCUCACGGGAGGCAGGAGAAACGGUGCCCUGAAGAGGUCCCGCCCCAAUGCCUGUGAAUGUGCUACGUCACACGUAGAGAGAGCUGGUCUUUUGGGGAGAUCCUCCUGCGUUACCUGGUGUGCCCGAUGUGAUCCAGUGGAUCCUUCAAAGUAGAAGAGGUAUAUACACCCCAGAGAGUUAAAAACAGGUACUCCCACAACUACGGGUCCAUGUGUGGUCACACCUGCCCUGGUCACAAUCGUCAAAAGGUAGUCAUAGCCAGUGUCCGGGAACAGAUGCCUGGAUGAACAAAAUGCAGUGUAUAUACGCAGUGAAAUAUUAUCCAGACAUAGAAAGGCAUGAAGUACUUAUACUUAGUACGACACCAAGGAACCUCUAAAACAUUAUCCUAGAUGAAGGAAGCCAGACGCCGAGGUCACACGUUGUAUGGUUUCAUGCAUAUGAAAUAUCCAGCACAGGUGCAUCCAGUGAGACAGAAAGCAGGUUGGUGUUGCCACGGGCUUGGGGGCAAGGGGAAUGGGGAAUAACCGCUCAAUGGGUGAAGGUCCUACUUGGGAGUUGUUCUAACUGAAAAAAAAAUAAAAUCACCAAUGAUUAGCAAUGAGUUUUACCUUCCUUCUUUAUAUAGUGCAAGGCCAGUUUUAAAUGCAAAUAUAAGAGCAUUCAACCCAUAUGAGGAAUUAUCAAAAUUACACAGUUUGUAUUUAUAGCCGACAUCUUCAAGGUCAAGGGAAAGAUGAUGAAGACUUUCCAGCAGUGACAGGAAGGCAUUGAACCACGCCGGGGGCCUUCUGAGUGUUGGGUCUCAGGAGGGUGCUCAGGUCGCACACCUUGAAGCUGCUCCUGAGCACACUGCCUGCCCUUUGCUGAAUCACGCCCCCAUCUCCUUGACAACACUCCUUGCAUCUCUAAGAUAAAUUCCAUGCACUUGAAUCCUUGUCUUAGGUUGCUUUAGGGUUGGGGGUGGGGCAGGAAUCCAGACUCUGGCCCCCUCACUGUAUCCAUAGUUCAAAGGAGAGGAGUAGGAAAAGCUUGGAGACGCGAGCCGUGUGCUGUGGGAGAGGCUGUGGCUUGGGGUGGUGCAGAGUCUCCCUGGAGAAGUGGGGGUUGAGCCGCAUCUUAGAGGGUGUGCUAGCUGGGAGACAGUCCGGCAGGGGUGGGGAUUCUGUGCUGGGACUGGCCAAUGCGAUUAGUGACACAGGGACAGCCUUUGGAGCUACUCCAAACCACAUUUCAAAGGCUCUCGUGCACGUGAUCACACGUGAGUCUCAGCAAAACCCAUUAGGCAGAAAGGGUAGAGGAAUGAAGACAUCUCAACUAUCCGGAACCCAAGGGCCUAGUGGAUUCUUCACUGGAACCCAGUUCUUUUGCUCCUGGAGCCCCUGGGGAUCUCACCACGCCACGCAGCUCCGGAAGAUCGGAAGAUGGGGGCCAUGAAGCUUAGUCAGAGGAGUCCGUGGUCCUGAGGUCACAGGCGUGUGGGGAGACAUGCGGUGUCCCUCUCUUGUUCUGUAUAAAAGGCACAGGGAAUUUAAUAGAGAGACCCGAGGUCCUGGAUUCCGUACACAUCCGAAAUGAUUUCUGUAGGAGAAGCAGCCCCACCUUUGGACAUGUUGGCUGAGAGCAUCUGUUCUGGAACCGUGACCUGAACACACGUGGGAGCUGUCUGCCUUUACUUAAGAUUCUGAUUUUGCAAGGAGGGCCCGGCUAGGAACUUAUCUUGGGGUUAGAGGUGAGGAAGGGGUUUCAAAAGAGAUAAAGAAGUCAGAUUUCAGGGUCGCGGCGGUCAGCGCCCCCGGGCUCGCCGGCGGCAGUCCUGGAGGAAGGCUGUUCAAUAGACUGUGAGUUUCCUCUUGGAAGAGUCUCAGCUUUUCCUCCAACACCCAGAAGAGAGGACCAAAAUAUGUUGUAAGUUACUUGGUUCCAAAACGUCCUCUCUUUUUAUUUUUCUAACUUCUGUAAAAAUAAAAUAACUUUGACAUGACAGUCACUUGUGAAAAUACAAGUCAAUGAAAUGGAAUUUCGAAACUCUAAGUGAAGCAAAUGUUUGGAUUAUCUUGUUUCAAUUAAGAUGCCGUGCGUUUUGCCUUUUAAGAAGGAGGAUUCUGUCAUGUUCUCUGUUUAAAUGUACUGCACCCAGAGGUUAACUUUUGAACCAGCAGAAAAUGGGAGGAAACGGGAAAGUACUAGAAGUAAAACGGGAGGGGGAGGGGAGCCACGUAGCAGACGAAGCAGAGAUUUUUGAGUCAGAGAGGUCUGAGUUUGAAUCCCGGUUCUGUGCUCGCUAGCUGUGUGACGCUGGGUAACUUACUGAACCUCUCUGAGCCUCGGUUUCCUCAUCAAGAGAAUGCAUGCAAUUAUCCUGCAGCUUUGGUUUUGGGGAAUGAUGGAAUGGGAUAACGUCUGUGGUUUGGCCUGGUGCAGAGGAGGCCCUCAUGUAAAUAUUGAAUGAAUAAAUAAUAACUCUUGAAAAUAUUAUUUCUGACUAUCUGUGGAGCACUCCCUGAUUUUCAAUGUACCCUUGAGAGUCCACGGAUACCUAGGAUGUGUCAUUCUGUUGUGACCCCUAGACUUAGUUUUCCGAACAAUUGACUUCAACUCCUUUGGGUAGGCUGGCCCUUAGCACAGGAGUUGAGAGCCCUUCUUCCUUCCUCCCCACUUCCUUCUUUCCCGCCCUCCUUUCCUUCCCUCAUUCCUUCUGUUUAUUAAAAUUCAGUUAUCUUCCAUGCCUUGGCUUGGGAGUAAAGGCUUUGAGGUCAGUCAGACGUGGUCUUGCCUCUGAGAAGUUCAGAGUUUUGUGGGAGAGACACAGGGGAGGAAGCCCCAGACUGUGGGUGGCGUGGGGCGGGGAGAGGAGCAGGCUUCCCCAGAAGGGAUGGGGGCCACUCCAGGGAGGGGGCGUAAGGGCUGAAGGGCCUGAGGAUGCCAGGGGACCAGUGAGGGGGUUCGGGUGGCCGAGCACGGCCGACAGAGCCCCGGGGAGGUGAGGACUCAGGGGCCAGAAGGGACCAGACAGCCACAGACAUUGCAGGCCCUUAGAAGGUGUGUAGACUUCACUCCAUCAGCCACAGAGAGCGAGAGCAGGGCAUAAAAAUGGCCAAAGGCACAUGCUAGAGUCCAUCAGGGCCCAGACUUGAGGGGGUGGUGAUAUCAGCGAGAGGGGUCAAGAGCCUGUUUUAAUUUUUUUAUUAUUAUUUAUUUAUUUAUUAUUCUUUUAGGGCUGCACCCAUGGCCUAUGGAAGUUCCCUGGCCAGGGGUCGAAUUGGAGCUGCAGCUGCCAGCCUACA
Molecule: non-coding RNA, 5472 nt
Organism: Sus scrofa (pig)
Lineage: Eukaryota; Metazoa; Chordata; Mammalia; Artiodactyla; Suidae
Source: RefSeq, a predicted model, not a curated record